This 253-nucleotide ribosomal RNA is filed under the name uncultured bacterium. Its description in RNAcentral is "partial 16S ribosomal RNA". It matches the Rfam family "Bacterial small subunit ribosomal RNA", at positions 524 to 776 of the family's 1533-position model. The record is from RNAcentral.
UACAGAGGUCUCAAGCGUUGUUCGGAUUCAUUGGGCGUAAAGGGUGCGUAGGCGGCGGGGUAAGUCGGAUGUGAAAUCCCGGGGCUCAACCCCGGAACUGCAUUCGAUACUGCCUUGCUCGAGUACUGGAGAGGAGACUGGAAUUUACGGUGUAGCAGUGAAAUGCGUAGAUAUCGUAAGGAAGACCAGUGGCGAAGGCGAGUCUCUGGACAGUUACUGACGCUGAGGCACGAAGGCCAGGGGAGCAAACGGG